AUGCAUAUAACGGCACGUACAAUUCCUUUCCUAAUGAUUCUUCUUUUAUUCUUAAUUAGCAAACGUCGAAGAUGGAGAUCCAAAGGACAUCGCAAGAUCGCAUCCAGGAGGGCGAGGAGACGCGCCAGCAUCGGCCGCGUCGAGAGGCGCCCAGCAGAGACGCACACGGAGAGAUUGAAGAAGGGAAGAGGCAGCGCCUACACGCGCCGACGAAGGCCGCGGGCAUCGCGCGUACAUCGUAGCUGGGGACAGACGCGGACGACGCGCCGGCAUCUGCACAGCGCCGUACUGCAGCAACCACAGACAUCCUCCGGCGAAUAUACAGCGCCACACGCUACAUCAGCAAUCACACACAAGCAUUCUUCUUUGUCAACGACAUGCCUAUAUAGCUAA
Molecule: ribosomal RNA, 393 nt
Filed under: Triticum aestivum (bread wheat)
Lineage: Eukaryota; Viridiplantae; Streptophyta; Magnoliopsida; Poales; Poaceae
Description: partial small subunit ribosomal RNA
Source: RNAcentral